AUACGGAAGGUCCGGGCGUUAUCCGGAUUUAUUGGGUUUAAAGGGAGCGCAGGCGGAGAUGCAAGCGUGACGUCAAAUUUCGGGGCUCAACCCCGUCUCGCGUCGCGAACUGCGUCCCUUGGUUGCGGGAAGGGGAGGCGGAACUCGUGGUGGAGCGGUGAAAUGCAUAGAUAUCACGAAGAACUCCGAUCGCGAAGGCAGCCUUCCGGCCCGUCAACGACGCUCAUGCUCGAAGGUGCGGGUAUCAAACAGGAUUAGAUACCCUGGUAGUCCGCACAGUAAACGAUGGACACCCGCGGUUUGGCCUAUAUGGCUGAGCCGCCAAGCGAAAGCGUUAAGUGUCCCACCUGGGGAGUACGCCGGCAACGGUGAAACUCAAAUGAAUUGACGGGG
RNAcentral lists this ribosomal RNA (393 nucleotides) under uncultured bacterium. RNAcentral describes it as "partial 16S ribosomal RNA". It matches the Rfam family "Bacterial small subunit ribosomal RNA", at positions 523 to 918 of the family's 1533-position model. The record is from RNAcentral.